Cyprinus carpio (common carp) is the source of this 1592-nucleotide long non-coding RNA. The record is from Ensembl. Lineage: Eukaryota; Metazoa; Chordata; Actinopteri; Cypriniformes; Cyprinidae.
GCACAACUGCACAUAACAAUACAAUAAAAUUGCACAACAAAAAACAAUGCAUUGCAAAAGAAGUUAACUUCCAUACUGCUUUUGUCAAUGCAUAAGGUACAGCGAUGGAGAAAUAAUAUGCAAAAAUAUCUUUAUAGAGCACACUUGAGCUCAUUUGUCCUGGAGCAUCAUGACUGUCAGCACAGCAUUGUAGUUGCUCUUUGUUCUUCAGUGGGCUUUGUGUGCGAAUGUGUCACUCACUAAUCAUGGAGAAAAAAGGCCCAUUCCCUCACCUGAAUGGCUACAGGUCACUGUAUCAUUAUGGAAAAACAGAACAGGCACAAGCACCGCUGCUGUUUGUCUCAUGCAAAUUUGUCGUGUAGGAAAGAGGUUGGUGGAUUACGUCAGGUGAAAUCCUCAGCUGCAUCCUGAUCAAGGUAUAAAAAGUCAGUCUGAAGCACAAUAUAGCAAUACUCCUACUUUGCCUUACAGGACAGAAGUUGUACAAGUGAAGAAUGAAUAUCUCUGCUCUGUUGGUGUUUAUUUCUGCUGUCGUGUCUGUUUAUGGGUAUUAUGAACUGCCCUGCUCUGACUGCAAUCAUCCUUGUACUGCUGAUCGCUUGAAAAACGUCACAGAACAAUUAUUCGAGCACAUGAACUUUACCGACUGCAAAGAGAACGAACACUUUUCAAAAAGAGCCAAUCCUACCUGGAAGUGCGAGUAAGUGUUCUUACAAUUAAUUCAGUUAUUUUUAUGCUAGUAACCUUUCUUAUGUGUAGUAAUAUUAGAUGAGAGGCUGUUGGGUGUUGAGGACUCAAAGUACAAAGUGUUUAUAUGGAAGACCCCCCUUAUUUGCUUUUUUGGUUCAUUAUUAUUAUUUCAUUUAAUAGCUUUAUAAGGUUAUUUACUGUUAUUUUAUUUAAUGUCAUCUAAACAUGUUUAAUUAGGUAGUUUGGACACACUUAUGCAUGCAGCUGGUUCAUGUUGAUGAAAUUAAUAUGGCUCUUAUCAGCCAAACAAGAAAGAACUGUCUUUUGAGGUUGAAACUAUAUUAACAGUAUUUGUUUGUCAGUAGACAUUCCAUACUAUUUAAAGGGCUGUUUUAGAUUGAGAAUUUGAUGGUGAUAAAGGAUAUGAUGUGUGUCAAUGCUCCACAACUUAUGAGUCUUUUUUUUUUCACAGACCAUCACACCCGGUUUUCAACAGACAUCCUGAAACUGUCCAUAAUGCCAUAUGUGGAAAUUGCAAAGUUGGAUUUGAGGCAGUAUCGAUUUUGCAAAAUAUCAACAUGUUAUUCAAAAAGUCCUGCCUGAACAGAAAUAACUCUAAUAAUAACACAAUAUUAUAUGUAAAACCAGUCAAAAUCUCAUUAGGCUGUACGUGUGUAAAGAAAACUCCCUAACAAUAUGUAAAUUAUGCCUGCAUGCACUUCUGAUAAGCUCAGCAAUAUGACCAUCAUGUAUUCUUUUACUUUUUUUUAGUUGUAAAAGCCAAAUAUAAUGAAUAUCUAUAAAAAUCAGUGAUAUUGAAAAAUGCUCUUAAUGUUUUUUACAAUGCAUGUUUGUAAAAACGUUCUCAAAACCAUGUAAUAAUUUGGCUGUGUAUAUAUAAU